RNAcentral lists this transfer RNA (73 nucleotides) under Camelus bactrianus (Bactrian camel). It matches the Rfam family "tRNA". From Rfam's summary of the family: Transfer RNA (tRNA) molecules are approximately 80 nucleotides in length. Their secondary structure includes four short double-helical elements and three loops (D, anti-codon, and T loops). Further hydrogen bonds mediate the characteristic L-shaped molecular structure. tRNAs have two regions of fundamental functional importance: the anti-codon, which is responsible for specific mRNA codon recognition, and the 3' end, to which the tRNAs corresponding amino acid is attached (by aminoacyl-tRNA synthetases). tRNAs cope with the degeneracy of the genetic code in two manners: having more than one tRNA (with a specific anti-codon) for a particular amino acid; and 'wobble' base-pairing, i.e. permitting non-standard base-pairing at the 3rd anti-codon position. The record is from Rfam by way of RNAcentral. Lineage: Eukaryota; Metazoa; Chordata; Mammalia; Artiodactyla; Camelidae. RNAcentral also lists the same sequence under 3 other names.
GAGGGUAUAGCUCGAAUGGUAGAUCACAUGCUCAGCAUGCAUGAGGUCCUGGGUUCAAUCCCUAGUACCUCCU